UAUAUCUCGUUGAAACACCGGUUCCAGUACGAUCACUAAUUUAAGCAAUGUCGAGCCUGGUCAGUACCUAGAUGGGCGACCGCUUGGGAAUAGCAGGUUCUGU
Molecule: non-coding RNA, 103 nt
Organism: Acanthosepion pharaonis
Lineage: Eukaryota; Metazoa; Mollusca; Cephalopoda; Sepiida; Sepiidae
Source: the annotation of a GenBank genome assembly